UUCAGUUGACCAAAGAGUAUGGUGGGAGCGCGCCUCAGGAGCGUGUGAUCUGCCAGCUAAAUAAAUGUGCUCAGAUCCAACGCUCCUUGUUUUUUUGCAUUUUUUAUUUUCUGAUUUUAUUUUCUUUAAUUCCUUUUAUUUCAAAAAAUCAUAUCUCUCUCAUUUUAAUUCCAAAAAUUAUGGGACCAAUUGCAUUAGUCUCCAAAUAAUUUCUAAUUUCUAUUUCUGAUUUUUAAUAUUUUUUAUUUUGUCAUUUAAUAUUUUUUGUGAAUUUUCUCUUUUCUAAUUAUUUUUAAUUCAUUUUAAUUAGUUUUUGAUAUUCAAAAAAUACAAAAAUAUUUUCCUAACCUAUUUGAAUGAUGAUGAAUCUAUGAAAAAUAUUCUCAUCAAUUUUUAAAUUG
Molecule: long non-coding RNA, 401 nt
Filed under: Lathyrus oleraceus (garden pea)
Lineage: Eukaryota; Viridiplantae; Streptophyta; Magnoliopsida; Fabales; Fabaceae
Description: Pisum sativum (pea) long non-coding RNA (PSAT_LNC037548)
Source: RNAcentral